Long non-coding RNA from Octopus sinensis (East Asian common octopus), 168 nucleotides. RefSeq lists it as uncharacterized. Lineage: Eukaryota; Metazoa; Mollusca; Cephalopoda; Octopoda; Octopodidae. The transcript has 3 exons. The record is from RefSeq and is a predicted model, not a curated record.
ACAGAGACCAUAAGCCCGUGGCCUUCUACAUGGUAUGGAGCCAGCCUACGUAUGCACACCUUCCCUUCUUGGGACACAAAACUCUACUUGUGAAGACCUGUUGAGGCAAGUGAGGAUCAGAAUCGAAAUCGAUCAAUGGAAAUUGCAGAUGUGUUACCAGUGCCGGUG